AGCCGAGAGCGCGCACAGCCCAGGGGUGCUGGAGGUCGCGCGCGUUGGCAAGUUGGCCACGGCGAGGGGCGUGGCCGUGGGGAGCAGGAGGAGGGCCGCCGGACCCUCGCACAUACCUUCUUAGGCUGCCUUAGGGUCGUCCACAACCAGUGCUCCUCUCUCUCUUCGUGCCUGGCAUCUGCCCAGCCCUGCCCUCCACAUCCUCAAACCUGCAAAGGAAUGUACCGUGACAUGCGGGUGGAGGUCAGAGGACACUUUGCAGGGAUUGGCUCCCUCAGGGACUGAACUCCGGUGGUCAGGCUCAGCAGCAGGUGCUGCUACCUGUUGAGCCCCACCUGCCGCUUUCUGACCUGACAGUCAUGAGGUUGAAGUGAUGGCGUGGUUCCUGUGACUGGUAGAGCAAAGGUUAAAAAGACAAGACAACUCAGGGCGUGUAGGUGCAUACACAUGUGGAGAAUGGGGCAGGCACAGUAUUUUCUGCUGAGCUGCUGCUGACCCUGGGUGAAGACUCACAUGGACACCCUCCACAGGGCAUCUCCAGAUGACACUCGAUGAAGACCCAUGUGGACGUCCUUUGAGGGCCAUCUCCAGCUGACUCCAGGUUGUUGGUACGUUUCAUACAUAUAGUAUGCAUUUGUAUGCAUAUGGUUUCCUGCUCAUCUUCCUGUGGCCCCACUAUUCUGCUGGUUUCAGCCUUUCUGGUCGCUGGGUAGGGAUACCUCCCUGGCCUUGAGCUUGCAUUUCCUAGACUGAUAUGCUGAGCACCCUUGUAUGUGCACGGACCACAGGUCACAGUCCAUUGUUGGGGGAAGGAACUGAACACUGGAACCGGAGCUUGAAGGCAGAACUACCAGCUGUUCUGAGCUGCAUUACACCCAACAGGAACUGAAGGAACCACAGUAGAAACCCAUGGCUUGCUAAUAGUAUUGUACUUAGCUAGCUUUUGUAUACAGCUCAGCAGAACCUGUCUAGGGAAUGGUGCUUCCCGCAGUGGGCUGGGCCCUCCUACAUACGUUAACAAUGAAGACAGUCCCCCACAGAGGCCCACAGGCCAGUAUGAUCUAGACAGUCCCCAAAUUGAGGCUCCUUCUCAGGUGACUCUAGUAUGUGUCAAGUCAGCAACUCCAACAGCAAGGCUCUUUACAGGAACAGAAGUAAUGAAAUGUAAAAACCUAUAUUUAUAACUCUGUAUUUGUGUGUAAUAAAAUUUAUGAGACUGCCUCACACAAUACAGUCUAGGUAAUCCACCUACACUCAGAAGAGGCUGAGAAUCUGGUAGCUGCUCAGUCCACAAAGCUGGAUGCCUCAACUGUUCUAGUCUGGCACUGAAGACCUGGUUCUCCAUGGAGAGUCACUGGCAUUGAGCCUGCCUUGGAAGGUCAAAGAAGCUGGAGUCUGAUGCCAGCAGAGGGUGGGUGGUCGUGGCCUGUGGAGGUGGCUGUGGCUGUGGCAGAAGCGGUGGCAGUGAUGAGAACUGACGUACUCCUCAGGAAGAAGUGAGGGUGGAUGGGCAGGCAACACUGCCUUUUUCUUGGACCUCUGUAUCUGGGUUGCUCCUUGGAUGACGUCACCCACUUCGAAGGUGAAGGUGCCUGAGAAGACGAAAGAGGGGAAUUUCCUGGACCUGGAGUUACAGGUGGUUGCUGGGAGCCCAAAUCAGGUCACCUGUAAGAGCAGCACAGCAUCUCUCCAGCCCUUGUGUCUGUGGAAUGCAGGAGUUAUCUAUCGGUCCUGGAACUUGCACUAGAGACUGUGUGAGCCACUGUGUGACUGUGGGAAUUGAACCUGGGUUCUCAGGAAGAUCAUCCAGGGCUCGGAACCCCUCUCUCCAGCCCCGGUAUGCAGUGUGCAGCAUUCUUCACUACCUUCUAGGAUAAGCAAGUUCUAAUUUCUGCUGUGACGUUUGAACCCUGGGUUGGGGCUGUUUUCCUUGAAUUCCCAUCAGUGUUUUUCUCGUUUUCCCUCUGCGCUCACAGGACCUGGCCUGGGAAUUGCCAAGGCUCUCAGAGUUCUGGAGACAUGUUUUUAGCCCAGCAUGCCAUCCAUUUUAAAGCACAUUGUCUUUUGCACUAUAAAGACUGUGUGCACUUAUUAACUGUGUUAUUUAAAUUUCUCAUGUCCCUGCUGACUUAGAAGUGUCCUCAAUCUGUCACAGUAGCAUAGCUGUUUUGCCUGGGUGUGACAUGACCAUGGCAGUCUUGAAGCUGAGUAGCUGUGCUGACUUACGGAAGACCUUGGCCAUAGCCAUGACAAUGAAAUAAGCAGAAUGAUAGGUUGACAGCCAGGUCUGUGGCUACAGUGAAGAGGCUCUUCCCUGUGGAAGGACCAGGGGCCACUGAGGAACCUCAGCUGAGAUCCUAUCACACUCCCUACUGCUCCAGCUGCCCAAGGAAUGAAUGAGAACUACCUCCCCACCCCCAUAGGCUUAUGUGUUUGAACACGCAGUGCCCAGUUGGUGGUGCUGUUUGGAAGGUCAUGGGGGAAGGGCCGCCUUACUGAAGGAAUUACAUCACUGGGGGAGGGCUCUGAGCUCUCAUAGCCUCAUGCCACUGCCAGGUCUCUUUCUGGUUCAUGUUGUGGUUGAAAAUGUGAUUUCUCACCCUUGUUCUUUGCUGACAUACUUUCUCGUCAUGAUGGACUCUCCCUCUAAAACCUCAAACCCAAAUAAACUCUUCCUUCCUUAA
This is a long non-coding RNA of Meriones unguiculatus (Mongolian gerbil), 2684 nucleotides long. RefSeq lists it as uncharacterized. The transcript is spliced from 9 exons. NCBI's taxonomy places the organism in Eukaryota, Metazoa, Chordata, Mammalia, Rodentia, Muridae. The record is from RefSeq and is a predicted model, not a curated record.